AAGUAUCGCCCUUUUCAGUUCGGCACAAUCGCUUCUAAUCAUACCACCCACAACUGUAAACAUACAUAUAAGCAGGAUGCUCAGGUCUAUCACAUCAGCCGUGUCAAAGCACUUACCCCACUAGCAUUUAUGCCUUCAGGACGCCCGCCGUUUCCUCCGGACUCCCUCGAAUUGAUCCUCCACCACCUGCAGUCCAUCUGCAGAAAUUUUCCUGUGACUCCUUGAGAUCGACCUGCAAGGAUUCGUUCUUUUUUUUUUGGCGUGAGAUUUAUCACUGUAAGCGAGAAGUUUGUUCAUCUCUUCCAACUCGGAAAUUUUAUCCUGCAAUUUCCCCUGAG
RNAcentral lists this small RNA (338 nucleotides) under Histoplasma capsulatum var. duboisii H88. RNAcentral describes it as "Histoplasma capsulatum H88 hypothetical RNA". Lineage: Eukaryota; Fungi; Ascomycota; Eurotiomycetes; Onygenales; Ajellomycetaceae. The record is from RNAcentral.